AGUCGAACGAGUUCUGAUUAUUGAAAGGUGCUUGCAUCUUGAUUUAAUUUUGAACGAGUGGCGGACGGGUGAGUAACACGUGGGUAACCUGCCCUUAAGUGGGGGAUAACAUUUGGAAACAGAUGCUAAUACCGCAUAAAUCCAAGAACCGCAUGGUUCUUGGCUGAAAGAUGGCGUAAGCUAUCGCUUUUGGAUGGACCCGCGGCGUAUUAGCUAGUUGGUGAGGUAACGGCUCACCAAGGCAAUGAUACGUAGCCGAACUGAGAGGUUGAUCGGCCACAUUGGGACUGAGACACGGCCCAAACUCCUACGGGAGGCAGCAGUAGGGAAUCUUCCACAAUGGACGCAAGUCUGAUGGAGCAACGCCGCGUGAGUGAAGAAGGCUUUCGGGUCGUAAAACUCUGUUGUUGGAGAAGAAUGGUCGGCAGAGUAACUGUUGUCGGCGUGACGGUAUCCAACCAGAAAGCCACGGCUAACUACGUGCCAGCAGCCGCGGUAAUACGUAGGUGGCAAGCGUUAUCCGGAUUUAUUGGGCGUAAAGCGAGCGCAGGCGGUUUUUUAAGUCUGAUGUGAAAGCCCUCGGCUUAACCGAGGAAGUGCAUCGGAAACUGGGAAACUUGAGUGCAGAAGAGGACAGUGGAACUCCAUGUGUAGCGGUGAAAUGCGUAGAUAUAUGGAAGAACACCAGUGGCGAAGGCGGCUGUCUGGUCUGUAACUGACGCUGAGGCUCGAAAGCAUGGGUAGCGAACAGGAUUAGAUACCCUGGUAGUCCAUGCCGUAAACGAUGAAUGCUAGGUGUUGGAGGGUUUCCGCCCUUCAGUGCCGCAGCUAACGCAUUAAGCAUUCCGCCUGGGGAGUACGACCGCAAGGUUGAAACUCAAAGGAAUUGACGGGGGCCCGCACAAGCGGUGGAGCAUGUGG
RNAcentral lists this ribosomal RNA (921 nucleotides) under Lacticaseibacillus rhamnosus. RNAcentral's name for it is "bacterial SSU rRNA". It matches the Rfam family "Bacterial small subunit ribosomal RNA", at positions 60 to 944 of the family's 1533-position model. The record is from RNAcentral. Lineage: Bacteria; Bacillati; Bacillota; Bacilli; Lactobacillales; Lactobacillaceae.